This 5071-nucleotide long non-coding RNA is filed under the name Sus scrofa (pig). Its description in RNAcentral is "lncRNA (ENSSSCG00000056899.1)". Lineage: Eukaryota; Metazoa; Chordata; Mammalia; Artiodactyla; Suidae. The record is from RNAcentral.
AAUUUAUAGUUAAUUUUGAAAAGAUUCUUACAGUAUUAGAAAUUCUGAUGGGGGAAGUUCAGUUAUAAAAAAAGAAGAUAGCCUCAAAAUCAACUAGGCUCUUCCAGGCCAAGAGAGAUUAUAUAGAAAAGUUAAAAAUAAUUUAACAACGAUGACAAAAUUCCCAUGGGACUCUGAUGACCAAGAUCAAUGAUGAAAAUAAUGGUGAGUGCUAUAUACUGAGAGUCUAACAUGUGUGAGUUAUAUUCACUAUCUCUAAUGAUCUUAAUAAUGUGCAAAAUAAAUGAUAGGAUCCUUAAUUUUAAGAUGAGGAAAUGGAACCUCCAAACAGUAAAAUCACUUGAUUAAAACUGUACUUAUUGGAUCCAGUGGUAGACCACAGACACCAGAUUCAUGCCUAUGACUAUUUGCCUUUUCUUUCAACCAGUGGGUUGCUGGAGCUAACCUGAAUUGGUAUGGAAGGACAAUUAUUAAAUUUUCAGGGAUGUCUCAAGCCAUUAUUAAAAACUAAAUUAUAUAAACAUACAAUCAAAUAAAUUAUCUUUUUUAAAAGACAAUGCUCAAAACUCAUCACUUCCUAGUUAUUUUUACUACAUUUUACUACUAUCUGGUUAUUGAGGUUAUUCCUUUAUUCUCUAUGUAUGGGAGAAAUAAUAUACAAUGUUGCACUAACGUGUCUCUCUUUCUAGCUCCCCCUUCAGUGACAUCAUGUUGGUAGCUUGAAAUCAGUCAGGGUGGGGGUAUUUACACCAUGGAAAUUAGCAAAUCCUACAAUCCAUAGUUUGGAUUAUUGUUCUAAUGCUUUUCUAGAUUUAAUAAAGUGAUAGAAAAAGUGUUAAUAAUGCAGAUUAAACCUAAAAGUAUUCCAUGCCUGUAGCCAUUAUAUUGUGAAUAGCAGAAAUGAGGGAAUAUGUAUUCUUCUAAUAUUUAAAAACUAUCAUCCAAUUUAACAAAAAUUCACUCAUGUCUUUGACAGAAUGAGUGAAGUUUCUUCAUUCACCUUUGAUGUUUCACUUUCAUUUUACUUCUUAACAUAAAUGAAAAUAUCAACCAACAUUUAUGUCAGAACUAUAUUAAUUCAUCAAUUGUGACCAGAAUAUAGGAGUUUGGCAAAAGUGAACAAAAGCAUUCUGUGAUAAUAACCUUACCAUAUAGAGUUGAAAACGAAGUAUAAUAAAAAUAGUGUAUUUUAUUAGCAUUUAUAAAUUGCAUGCUGCACAAUCAUUAAAAUUUAUUAAAAAUAUAUGUAUGUAAGUAUAGCACAUACUUUUUUUUGGAGAAUUGGUUAAAUAUUUGCCAGAACAUCAGAGCUUUUAACAUCAUGAUAUUGUCAAAACUGAAUGAAAUUGCUUUUGCCAGAGUCACCAAUUCCUAGUUGCUAAAUUCAAUUCUUUUUUAUUUGAUUUCUUUAUAGCAUUUGGCACUAGAGCAACUCCUUUUUUGUGUGUGAAAUACUCUUAGCUUCUAGAACCCACUCCUUCGCUUUUAUCAUAGUUUGAUCUAAUCCUACAUCCUAAAUAUUGAUAUUCCACGGAGCUCUAGCCUAAGGUCUCUUAUAAAUAUUUACUCUUUGGACAAUCUCAACUACUAACAAGGUUUAACAACUUACACUUUGAUAAUUUGCAAAUCUGUGUUUCUGGCCUAGAACUCUCUCUUAGCAUUAUAUAGGCAAAUGCGUAGAUAUCCCUAAAUGGAUAUCUUUCAGUAGCUGCCAUAAAUUGAAUGUUAGUGUCUCCAAAAAUUCAUGUUGAAGCCUAAUCCCCAAUGUGAUGGUAUUAUUAGGUGUGGCCUUUGGGAGAUGAUGAGGUCAUGAGAAUGGAGCCCUCUUGAGUGAGAUUAAUGCCCUUAUGAAACAGACUCCAGAGAGCUCUCUCACCCCUUUAGCCAUGUGAGGACAUAGUGAGAAAGAUGGUCAUCUGUGAACCAGGAAGUUGGCUCUCAGCAUACCUCCACCUUAAUCUUAGAUUUUCCAGCCUCUAGAACUGUGAGAAAUAAACUUCUGUUGUUUAUAAGCCACCUAGUCUAUGGUAUUUUUGUCAUAGCAGCUGGAACAGACCAAGACAGAAAUUCUGCACUAAAUACCGACAAAACCUAAUAUGUUUUCCCUUGCAAAUGUGUUCCUUCUUUGUUAGUUUCUAAUCUGAUUAAUAGCAUUAUGCAGCCAUCCAGGAAAUAUGUGAGUCAUCCUAGACUUCUCACUCAACUCCAAUUUCAAUCAAUUAUAAAGUCCCUCUAUCUUUAUCUACAUCUCUCCUUUCCUUUCCUUUUUAAACCUUAAACUAAGGUUUUAGUUAGGCUCUAAAAUCUGUUGUCCGGACUAUUGUAAUAAGUUUCUAACUCUUCUCCUCAUGUCCUUUUGCCUGCCUAUAAUCGGUUCAACAAACUGCUGCCAGAGUUGUAUUUCUAAAAUGCAAAUGUGAUCAUUUUGUUUUCCUACAUUAAAUCCAAUUUUCUAUAGCAAUUUUUCAGUAUUUUUCACUGAAACCUCAUAGGAAGAGAUACUUUGCUUAUCAAGACUCAAUGUGUGCAUAUAUGCAGGUAUGUACAUAAAUUUGCACAAACACCCCCCCCACCACACACACACACAAUUGAAACAAAAAUGAAGCAACAGUUAAUUUUCUUUUAGGUUUGCAUUCUGCUAUUUGGUAUGUGUUAUUGAAUAUUUAAAUGCUGGUUGAAUACAGGCCACUGAAUUUAUUUUAUGACCUACUAAUGGGAAUACUAAAGUAAAAGAAAAAAGUCUGCACUCAUGAAGCAUAGCACAGAAAGCCUUUCGAGAUCAAAAGUAAGACUAGGAAAUGCUUUUAAAUGAAUAGUAAUAAAAUGUAACCUAUCAAAACUUGUAUGAUUCUGUAAAUCUAAAGCUAUUCUAAAAGUUCAUCAAAGUUUUGUUGAUUACAGCUAACACACUACCUAGAUAUUUAAAAUAAAGGUGAGGUUUAAUUAAAAACAGACCUGAGGAAACUUUUUGGAAUGAUGCUGAUAUUCUAUACCUUGAAAGUUUAGACUACACAGAUGUACACAUUUGUUAAAAUUCAACAAAUAGUACUAAUAUUUGGGCAUUUAUUAUAACUAAAAUUUACCACUAAAGGAAAAAGAGGAACUAUAAAAACAUUUUCAGAGGCUCCAAUCAAGAUGGUAGAAUAGAAGGAUGUGGAGCUUACUACUCCCACAAAUAUAUCAAAAAUACAUCUCCAUACAGAAAAAUUCUCAGAGCAUACCUGCUGAAUGCUGGCAAAAAUUCUCAUAAAAACAAAAUCGCAAGAAAGAUGACCACAUAAGUUGGUAGGACAAAAGAAAAAAAAAAAUCAGAAUAGGACCUACAUCCCUGGGAGGAAGCUGUGAAAGAGGAAAGGUUCACUGACCCUGGGAAGCCUCUUCACUGGCUAGGAGAUCUGCUGGGAUAGAAAGGAGCUUCAGAGGCUCAGAGGAGAGUUCAGCAGCUGCUUUGCAGCAGGCAGAACAGAGAGACCUGUGGAGAUAAUACUGGCCAUCUCACUGCAGUCCCCAGCCCCAGAUGCAUGUCUGCUGGUGUGUGUGGGGGCUGGGUGCUGAAACUUGGGCUUUAGAGGACAGACCCAGAGAGAGAGCUGGAGUUAUCUGUGCAGAGACAGCCUGAGGGCCUGGAAUGUGGUCCAAGCCACGACCAGGGGUGUGUGCAAGAAGGAGCUUGGGUCUGCCACUGAAGCCCACUGUUAAUGUGCAUGCUCAAAGGGAGAAUCAGAGACUGACUGCCCAUAGUACCCUCAUUCUUGGUGUCCUCACAGUGGGUGCAGUUCUGCCUCUAUGAGCUGUCAGAGAGCACAAGCACUGGUGAGUUGUCCACAUGUAGAAGUGGGGCUGAAAUCUGAGUGUCCCAGGGGCUAUGUGAUUUGUGGAUUUAUGUGCCAGUGGCUUUAUAAGCUCAGUGCCUGUAGGACAUCUGAGCAUACUUCUGGUACUCCAGUGACUGGGGCAGGUCCAGUGAUAGUAUACCUUAUGGUGGGACUGGGAUCUAGAUUGACACAGUAGUUCUCAAGGUGGGUCCAGGCACACAACUAUAGUGGUCCUGGUGCCUAACCUCACUGAUCAUGUGCCAGUGGAUCUGCACUAGUAUCUAUGUCAGCAUAUUGCCUGAGAGACACCUGGGCCAACUGCCUGAAUUCCCAUGGUUGAGGUGGGGCUAGGGCAGUGCCCAAACAGUGUACUUUGUGAGCCUGCACAACAAAUGGCAGGUGACACCACAGAGCACACAUUCCACUGGGCAGCUCCUGUGGAGAAAUACUCCGUGGCUCGUCUCCCAAAAGGAAUGCUUCAGUCUCACCUGCCUUAAACCACAGUUCAAAAAUGGAUCGAGGGGUGUCUAUUCCAACAACUGGAGAGUAGACCCUGCCGCUGAGAGGCCUGUGACAACCACAGAGUAAAGAGGGGGCCCCAUUCACCAUCCAGUGCAGCCUCUGGCCACCACAACAAUAGUCACAUCCACUAUCAAGGGGGUAAUGGAAAAUAUACACUGAGGAAAGAUGCAGUGGGCAUCUAUACUAAAAGCAGUCCUCAUGCCAAAAAGAUUAGACUCCUGUAGGCUACACAGGGACACAUCCAUGUAAAAAUAUUCCUUCAAGACUGAAGUAGAAAACCAUUUCUCCUAAACUCAUAGAGUCAGAGAAAUAGAAGUAAAAUGAAGAAGAUGAGGAACCACCCCAAAUUAAAAGAUCAAGAGAAUUCCUCUGAAAGAACAAACAGUGAAACAGACAUCUCCAGUCUACUAUAUACAAAGUUCAAAAAGGAGCUAUGAAAAUACUGAAAGAAUUUUAAAAACCUAUCAAUAGAAAUGCAAAUUAUUAUAAAAAGGAACUAGAAACUAUAAAGACAAGCCAAUUAAAAUUAUAAAAUUUAUUUGCCAAGACAAAAGCUGAGCUAAAGGCAAGCAAAUUGGAUAAUGCAGAAGAAUGAAUAAGUGAUCUAGAAGAUAGAAUAAUGGAAAUCACCCAGUCAGAACAACAGACAGACAAAUAAAAAAAAUUAAAGCAAUAUAUGGGACUGAUAGGAUAAUAAAAAGCAACCAAAUCUACACAAAAUAGGGAUCUGAGAU